This 205-nucleotide unclassified non-coding RNA is filed under the name Glomus sp. RNAcentral describes it as "partial contains 5.8S ribosomal RNA and internal transcribed spacer 2". The stretch from base 1 to 71 matches the Rfam family "5.8S ribosomal RNA", at positions 84 to 154 of the family's 154-position model. The record is from RNAcentral. Lineage: Eukaryota; Fungi; Glomeromycota; Glomeromycetes; Glomerales; Glomeraceae.
GUGAAUCAUCAAAUUUUUGAACGCAAAUUGCACUUUCUGGUAUUCCGGAAAGUAUGCCUGUUUGAGGGUCAGUUAAAUAAAAAUCGGUGUUGUUGCUGCCUUUCGGGGUGAGUCGGCGGAAUUGGGUCUUUUUACUUUGGGUUAAUUGACUAAAAAUUUUUUCAGGAUUUUCGAACGGAUUUAAUUGGUUUACGAAGUUUUGAGA